GACAUCCAAACGGCAAGACAAUGGCUAAACUUAGUAUAAACCAAAGUCCCCGAGGGCAGUAGUAACAACAGAAUGCCUCCAAUGAGUGUUUCAAUAGGCUUUGCAAAAUACUGAGUGUCAUUGUAUGUAUGUGAGGCCCUUAAUAAAUAUCCUUUAGUGGUAGGGGAAAUGGGCCAGAAAUGUUCAGCAGCAUUAAGAAGAGUAUUCGUUCAUUUUGAGAUGACUUCUCAAAGCUGCAAACUAGCCAGUUGUGAGCUUGCAUUUGAGUGCAUGUGAUCCUGCUCUUUUGGUGAAAAAUUGUAGCCCUGUUUUGUUAAAUUGCAGUCUCCAGGGUUUCGGUUCCUACUAUGAACCUAGAGAACAGGCCAGAAGCAUGUUGCACAAGGCUUCCGUUUUCACUGUCCAGUGACUGGUAUCCAAAUUCCCAGAUUUUCGCAGUAAACUUCACUCAGUCUUGUUAUAAUUGUUAUCUGUAAACAUUUUUAUUCAGAAUGUUCUUAAAUGAACUCAGGGAAAGCUGUGCAUUAAAUAGACAUUUAACAGAUGGUCAAGAGAGUAGUAUUCUGAAAUUUGGUAAAACUGCACUAAUGAUAUUUAUAUACUACACUGGAGAAAACAAAACAAACCAAAUUAAAAUCCAAUAUUCGUAUAUUUUAAAUUAUCAUUACUGUCCAUAAAACUAUUUGAAAUAAUAAUUUCUUGUUAGUUUUAAAAAUGAAAAAAUAUUAUUUUAUAUAAAUCCUCCAAAUCCCAAAUCUUCAAAAUCCAACAGGAUAUAUAUUGAAAAGAGUUAUAAUUUCUUUAAGUUAUUAAGAAAUUGAGAUAUCUCAUGAAUAAUAUAAUUUAAAAAUCUAUUGGCUAGUAAGUACUGGCAAAGUGAAUAUUUAACCAAUCUUCUGAAAAAAAUUAAAUAAUACAAGCACUUAAAAGUCUAAGAUUCUAAGACAAUGAAUCAUUUUGAAUUGGCCAAAUGCAUCAUAAUUUUUCCAGAAGCUUGUUCAAAUUUUAUUUCCCAUUCUUAGAAAAAUACAGAAGAUAAAGCUGGGUAUAGUGGCACAUACUUGAAGUCCCAGCUGUUUGGGAGGCUGAGGCAGGAGGAUCGCUUGAGUGUGUGAGUUCAAGGCUGCAGUGAGGUAUGAUGGUGAUACUGUACUCCAGCCUGAGCAACAGAGCAAGACAGGAAUCUCAAAAACAAACAAACAAAAAAGAUUAGACUUUAUGGGAUGACACAAAGAAAAUCAUCAUCCCAUCUUCAAUUAAUGUUGAACAGUGUCUUAAAUAGUGCAGAAUGAAUGAAUUUUAUGGGAGUCAGUGUUUCCUAGUUUGAAAGUCUGAUUAUUUUCUGUCCUAAAGGAACAUGUUAGAGGGGGUCUCCAGAGUUGCUGAAACCCUUACUCCAUAUAUUGCAAGAAAACUCCUCGAGUGUAGUUUCUGUGUCUGAUGAGUAUCUCUCUGCAGCACACAGCCAAGGGCCUGGACCAUAGAAAAUAUCCAGAACUGAGGACUUCUCCUGCCAAGCCCAGGGAGUCUGAAUGUGAGUCCAAGGCUGGCAGCUUUGUAUGACUUCAACCAUCACACAUAUAUUGUGAGAGAGAAAAUGAGGCUUUGUGUCUCUUAUGCCUCUGAUUUUUAGAAACGGGUCUGGGCAGUGUCAAAGAGUAAAACAGCCUUUGCGCAUCUUAACCACAGGUGUUUGCCUUGGCCUCAAUUAACACUGCACUGAAUCACCCAACUGAGAGUUUGCAGUCACUGGGCUAGACUCCCAGAGACCGACUCAGGCUGUCCUCAGGCCGCGUGAAAGCCUAGAGAUAUCUUGGUCAGCAGCUUCGCUGGGACUCCAAACUCGAGAAGGGGAAUCAAGCAAGGCACUUUGGCAUCACCAGUGUGAAGAAUCUCCAGCAGGGGAGGCAACAGAGGUAGCAACAUUGUGGCCACGGUUGUGUAGAAUGCAUUGCAUCCAGCACACUGGCACAUACAUGCUUAAACCACACACUUGUGUGCGUGUCCCUGCACCAGGGGCAAAGCUCAUCCCUAGUUUAUGAGUAGUGCCUGACAACUGGCCCCUGUCCUUGGCCAGUCCCAAGCCCGUACGGGCAACAGGGCACGUGUUUUUGAGCCUCUCUCCCUCCUUUCAGCCCUCUCCAGGUGUCUUUGGGAAGGAUUCUUGGAGCUUCCCCCUGUCGAACUCGUCUAGGAUCUCCAUGGGCGAGCGCGGCUGGCGGCUGGCUAGCCUGGGCGGCCUGAGAGCGGAGCAGGCUCUGGGCGGGGCUCCCGAGGGUCUUGGCGCGCUGGCCGCCACCCACCCUGAGGCCGGAGGGGGGCGGGGGUCACCAAAGGCGGCGGGCCCGUCGUGCGGGGCUGCAGGGAUGCACCCUCUCUCCCCUAUUUUUUUUCAUUGGCCGGUUAUUUGCAUAUUUCAAUAAUCUUUGCAGACAUUCCAUUGACAGCAGUAUGUCAAUCAUACAGGUAGAUCAAUGAAGACCUAGGUCAACAAUAGAUGUCUAUAUAAACGUCUGAAAUAGCAAAAGUUGCUGCUUAUAAUGUUUGCAUUCAUGUUGUGGUAGAAAGUCCAUUAACCAGAAUAAUUUUUCAGAAAACUUCCAUAUAUUAAAUUGGAUGGAUUAUUUAAGGAGUGUUAAAAGUUUUUUAAAAUAAUAGAAUACAAUAAUAUGUAUCUAUAUAACCACAGCUUGGGAGAGUCUUUUCCAUGCAUGAAGCAAUUGAAGAAAUCUUAAAGAAAAAUCUUGGUUAAUUCUAUCCCACAAAACUGCUAAAAGUUAUAAAAGCUUAAUUUAUGGUGAGAAAAAUACCAAAAAUAUUAAAUUUAUAUUUUCUGUUCUAUUGAAGCAAUUAGAACAAAUGCAAUUUUAAAAUAUUUUAACCAAUUUAUGAGUAUAAACUCUUGAACUGAUUAAGAAUGGAUCAUAAAAUAAAUUUACAUUCAUGAUACAGUUUUAGAGUGAGAAUGUAAAAUGAGAUAUUGAAGGCGUGUUUUCUAAUAAUGAACCUCAAUGAGGCUUAAGAGAGUGAAAUAAUAUCCUUUGGAUUAAUGUUUAAUCGAAACUAAUAUUUACUGCUCUAGUGCAUUCAAGAGAGCCUGUUACUAGGUUUUUGAAUGUAUGAUUGUGUUUCAGAACCAAUUUAAAAUAACUAGAUGAGUGACUUUAGAGAAAAUGACAAUAAGGUUGUAUAGAAAUAGAUAUUUCUUUCGAGGUUUUACUUUAGAAAAUUUGAAAAAGUAAUUUCUAUUCUGCCACAGUUGUGUGAUCCUCUCUGCAUAUAAAAUGGUAUUUCCUCACUUAUAAACCCCAAACUCUUCUACAGUGAAGGUAAUACACGUUUAGAAUGAACACUGGGAUGUGCUUAAAAUACUCCCUUGAGAUGCUGGUUGCUUUCCAGAGGGCAGUUCUCUGCCUCAUUGAAUGGUGGAUUCACUGGUUGGAGUGCGUGUUUUCUUUUUUGAUAGACACAAAACCCACAUACUUUGAAAAUCUUCUGUGUUAAAUGUUCUGUUCAAAUAAGAGACUUAUCCCAGAAACAAGAGGGUCCUGGCCACAGCCAUUCAUUACAUAAAAAGGAAAAGAAAGUAGACAUUUUAGGUACCUUUAUCCUUGCUUCCUAAUUGGCUACCUAGGCUUGCCAGGUACGGCAGAAAGAUAAUCAGACUUUCUUUUUACAGGAUAUUAAAGAUGAGAAAGGCCUUGGAGAUGAUCAAAUCCAAUCCCUUUAUUUUCUAAAGAAACUGAGGCUCGGAAUAAUUGACCUGACAGAUAGAAACUGAUGGAAAAUUUUAGUUCUGUUACUUACUUGCUGUGAGACCAUUUUGAAAAUAGACAUCAUAUCCUGUUUUAAUUACCCUAGACUUCAGAAAUAAGCAUUCCAAGAUAAACCUAUCUGUAUCUGGGGGAAUAAGAGUAGGCUCAGUUGACAGAAGACAAUAGGAAAAGUAACACAUAAAGAUGUCACCAGAAGACAAAGCUCUGGAUUUAAGAUUUGGAAGUUGGAAAAACUCUUGGAAGCUUAGCAAAAUUGUAUAUAACCAGGCCCAUAUGAAAUGGAGUGCUGUUGCAAGUUACUGUGCUGAGGAAGUUGAGGCUCUAAGACCAAAAUGUUGGCAAAUGGCUUGGAUUUGGAAUAAUGAAGAAGAGAGGCCAAGAGCCAAUCCUAAAGUAAUGACAGGAAGUUGGUGGGUGUCCCAGAGAGAGGUCACUUCUGGUAAGGAGCAUAGGGAGAGAAUGGAGGCAGAGGAGUCCUGUAAACUAAAAUCCAGUGAUUUGGGAAUAAAAUGAGCCUCCCAGUUUGUUUGAAUAAAGUACUUGAAUCCAAACCAACAUUUUCUUGCUCCCAAUGCAUAUAUCAGGAUAAAACAUUUUGACACAUCGUAAAAUGCAUAUAAUUCAUAGAUACAAUACUUUACACAAGAAUAUAACACAUCAUAUUGUUCAGAUACUCAUAUGCCUAGUGCUAGGCAUUCAAAAAUAUUUGUUGAAUAAAUGAAAACUCCCAGCUCUGCCACUUACUUAAUUAACCACAAAAAAAAUUGUGUCGUCAGUAAAAUGGAUAUGGUGAUACACACCUCGUGGAGUGAGAUAAUAUACAUGAAGUACCCGGAACAUAUUAAGCAUUUGAUAAAUAAUAGCUGUUAUUGUUGUUUUAAGUAUGGGUCAAACAUUGUUGUAAAUGCUUUAUAAGAAUUUAAAAUUUAUACCACAGAAAACAUUUUCUAUGUCCUGUGAGAAAUAUGUAUGUUUUGUAUUUUAAAGAGAAAAAUGUGUUUAAAUAACCAGUCAAGUGUCUGAUACACAUCAUCUUGACUGUAUAUUAGAUUAAUUCAUCUAUAAUUAAUAUGUUAGUCAUUUCCAAGACCAAUGUAGUUGUCUACCACUUCCUAGCACACCUGGGCUGCACAAAUAUGUGGGUCUGAUAUAAUGUCAGAAAUGCAGGAAGCUAUAUGAGAUUCCAGCCCUCUAUUUUUCCAAGUGUAAAAGAACUUAUGAAUCAAGAGCCGAAUAAAAAACAUAGUACUCUUUCUGAUAAUCUGUCAACAAAUUUGCAAUCAUGUCAGGCAUGUUAUAUGAUUACGAAUUGCUCAAUGCUAUUAUGAAAAGUAUUUUCAACAAGUGAAACUUCUGGAGUUCUCUGCAGUUCUGGGAUCAAACCUCAGUGCCUUGUCCUAACGUCCCAUUAGGACAGAAGUGCCCUUCCUGAGAGUAUGGCAGCAUAAUGACAUUCUAGCACCUGGACCGAUUACACUGCUCUCCCUGAAGUAGUGGAUUCUUUCAUCAGCAGGAGAGAGAAGGGUGAAUUGUAUAAAGUGGAGCCUGACAGUGUGUAUUUUAUUCUUUAAAAUAAAAAAAUUAAGAACAUAAAAAA
RNAcentral lists this long non-coding RNA (5373 nucleotides) under Homo sapiens (human). RNAcentral's name for it is "novel transcript". Lineage: Eukaryota; Metazoa; Chordata; Mammalia; Primates; Hominidae. The record is from RNAcentral.